CAAAGGUUUGGUCCUGACUUUAUUAUCAGCUUUUACCCAAUUUACACAUGCAAGUCUCCGCAGCCCUGUGAGGAUGCCCUCAAUCCCCCGUCCGGGGAAGAGGAGCCGGUAUCAGGCACAGUUACUAGCCCAAGACGCCUUGCUCAGCCACACCCCCAAGGGAACUCAGCAGUGAUAGACAUUAAGCCAUGAGUGAAAACUCGACUUAGUCAGGGUAAAGAGGGCCGGUAAAACUCGUGCCAGCCACCGCGGUUAUACGAGAGGCCCUAGUUGAUGCCCCCGGCGUAAAGAGUGGUUAUGGGGAAAUUAUACUAAAGCCGAAGACCCCUCAGGCCGUCAUACGCACCCAGGGGAUCGAAAAACCAACACGAAAGUAGCUUUACUCCUUCCUACCAGAAUCCACGACAGCUGGGACACAAACUGGGAUUAGAUACCCCACUAUGCCCCGCCGUAAACUUAGAUGUUCCCUUACAAUAAACAUCCGCCUGGGGACUACGAGCGCCAGCUUAAAACCCAAAGGACUUGGCGGUGCUUCAGACCCACCUAGAGGAGCCUGUUCUAGAACCGAUAAUCCCCGUUCAACCUCACUAUUCCUUGCUUUUCCCGCCUAUAUACCACCGUCGCCAGCUUACCCUGUGAAGGUAUUACAGUAAGCAGAAUGAGCAAUGCUCAAAACGUCAGGUCGAGGUGUAGCGUACGGAAUAGGAAGAAAUGGGCUACAUUACCUAAAGUAGGUUAUUCACGGAAGGUCCUCUGAAAUGAAGACCCGAAGGUGGAUUUAGCAGUAAAGAGGGAGUAGAGCGCCCUCUUGAAGCCGGCUCUGAAGCGCGCACACACCGCCCGUCACUCUCCCCAACGACUAAUAAAAGUUCGAUAUAUAACACAUCAGCAGUUACAAGGGGAGGCAAGUCGUAACAUGGUAAGUGUACCGGAAGGUGCACUUGGAAUAAU
RNAcentral lists this non-coding RNA (951 nucleotides) under Clupeonella cultriventris (Black Sea sprat). Its description in RNAcentral is "12S ribosomal RNA". It matches the Rfam family "Bacterial small subunit ribosomal RNA". The record is from RNAcentral. Lineage: Eukaryota; Metazoa; Chordata; Actinopteri; Clupeiformes; Clupeidae.